CAGGGAGACAACAAAAUGUUUAAUAUUAUUAUUUUGUCACCUUAGGUCGAUCGGUAUCUCACGUUUUUAAUUUAUUAAGAAUUUCAUUUCCUAAGUUUUUCUAGGUCACACCCAUUAUUUUUCCUGGGCCAUUAGCUCAGGUGGUUAGAGCGCACCCCUGAUAAGGGUGAGGUCCCUGGUUCAAGUCCAGGAUGGCCCAUAUCUCUAUGUUGGGGGUAUAGCUCAGUUGGUAGAGCGCCUGCUUUGCAAGCAGGAUGUCAGCGGUUCGAGUCCGCUUACCUCCACUGAUCACCACCUCUUCCAUAAUCGGUACAAAGGAAAUUUUUUGAGUUGUGAUCAAAUUCUGAAAGAAUCUAGCUUCCUAAUGAAAUCAUUAAGAUGCUGGACUCAUUGAAUUAAUUUCAUUGUUUUCAGAGAACCUUGACAACUGCAUAGAUUAUUUUUAAAGACAAUAAGCAUCUUUAAUGAUGCAGAUUUAUUAUUUGUGCAAAUGCAUUAAUAACAAUUCUAUUAAGCUGAUGCUUCAAUAUUUGAAGUUAUU
This 541-nucleotide transfer RNA is filed under the name uncultured Prochlorococcus sp. RNAcentral describes it as "partial 16S-23S ribosomal RNA intergenic spacer". The stretch from base 212 to 284 matches the Rfam family "tRNA". The record is from RNAcentral. Lineage: Bacteria; Bacillati; Cyanobacteriota; Cyanophyceae; Synechococcales; Prochlorococcaceae.